CGCCGAGUCCAGUGCAAUUGCAUGCCUCGAACCAUGUCAGGCCCGGAAGGGAGCAGCAUUAAGGGGAUUUUGUGAUGUGACACUGUAAACUCGGCACUU
This 99-nucleotide signal recognition particle RNA is filed under the name Candidatus Zophobacter franzmannii. RNAcentral's name for it is "signal recognition particle sRNA small type". It matches the Rfam family "Bacterial small signal recognition particle RNA". Rfam says of the family: The signal recognition particle (SRP) is a universally conserved ribonucleoprotein involved in the co-translational targeting of proteins to membranes. Archaeal SRP consists of a 7S RNA and homologues of the eukaryotic SRP19 and SRP54 proteins. Lineage: Bacteria; Pseudomonadati; Candidatus Cloacimonadota; Cloacimonadia (SeqCode); Cloacimonadales (SeqCode). The record is from RNAcentral.